GUGACCUCAUCGGAAGGGCAGCAGAAGAAACCCAGAUGCCAGUAACCCAGCUCCACAAACAUUAGCACCAUCAACUUUUACUGGCAAGAGCCCUCGCAGUGCGAGACUUCAACAGCUGAUUCGCUGAGGAUUCGCAGGAAAGAGAGCUGUGAAGGGAAAUGGGAUUGCUUCCCAUCCGACAGCAGCACGAACCCACCCAUGCUCGGGGGAAAUGAUCGAAUUCUCGUCCGUUAACUCAGAGAGCUGUGUGCUCUCCUUAAAGCCACGGCAGAAAUCCUGCUACAAACCGUGCCAUGUUUUCUUCUCCCUCCGUCAGGACCGAGUCAUUUCUCCCAGGCUGGUUGGUGAGCUUGGGGCAUCGCUGGCCCCAUCCGUGCCCAUGUGCAAGGAGAGGCUGCAAAGAGAGGCUGCCCUGAGCCGCGGUGCCUUGCAGAGCGCGCAGUGCACGGGGCCGAGCAGCCUUAAUUACAGCUCUUCAAAGGCCCGGCUCUCUGGGCAAUCUAGCGUGGCCAAAUUGGUGUUGUUUUUAAUUAAAAGUUGCAGAAAGUCGGGCCUGUUAGGUCAAAGGAAUGCUCUACUGCUCCGACCCAUCUUCUGCUUGGAAACUGUUUA
Numida meleagris (helmeted guineafowl) is the source of this 612-nucleotide long non-coding RNA. RefSeq lists it as uncharacterized. The transcript has 3 exons. Lineage: Eukaryota; Metazoa; Chordata; Aves; Galliformes; Numididae. The record is from RefSeq and is a predicted model, not a curated record.